GCAGGCGCUGCCGGAGCUUGGUUGGGCUGGAUCGCUUAUGUGGCAGUUACGUUUGUUCUUCCAUCGCAGCAGUCAGAAAGGAUUUUCCCUUUUUUUUCCGUGGCCAGGAAAUCAUUUUAACCAGGCGUUGUAGAAUUUUUAUUGCUGGUACUGGAUCGUAUUUAUGUUAGUUAAGUUUAUGUUUUAAAUUUGUUUAUUGUGCGUUUGGUUUUAAGACUUUUUGUUUUUUAUUUCCCGCAGGUUCGGUCGUGGUAGCAAUCACGGGCUUACGGUUGCCUAAGAAGCCCUUUAAAAAAGGUAAGUGGCUUUUAAUUUAAGAUUGUUAAUUGAGUAUUGUUAACAUUUUUAUUUUUAUUAUUUUGUAGGCGCAGCGGAAGAUUUUCUUGUUGUUGCUGGAUCAUACUUGAGUCAGAUAAGUUUAUGUUUUUAUUUUUUUAAUGCGCAUUU
This is a long non-coding RNA of Drosophila elegans, 447 nucleotides long. RefSeq lists it as uncharacterized. The record is from RefSeq and is a predicted model, not a curated record. Lineage: Eukaryota; Metazoa; Arthropoda; Insecta; Diptera; Drosophilidae. The transcript is spliced from 3 exons.